GCCGACGUAGCUCAGCCGGUAGAGCAGUUGAUUCGUAAUCAUCAGGUCAGCGGUUCGAUUCCGCUCGUCGGCUCCA
Molecule: transfer RNA, 76 nt
Filed under: Deltaproteobacteria bacterium
Lineage: Bacteria; Pseudomonadati; Myxococcota; Myxococcia
Description: tRNA-Thr
Rfam family: tRNA
About the family: Transfer RNA (tRNA) molecules are approximately 80 nucleotides in length.
Source: RNAcentral